UACGGAGGGGGCUAGCGUUGCUCGGAAUCACUGGGCUUAAAGGGCGCGUAGGCGGGUGCUCAAGUCUGUGGUGAAAUCCUCCGGCUCAACCGGAGAACUGCCAUGGAUACUGGGUGCCUCGAGGGUGGUAGGGGUAUGCGGAACUAUCGGUGGAGCGGUGAAAUGCGUUGAUAUCGAUAGGAACUCCGGUGGCGAAGGCGGCAUACUGGACCACUUCUGACGCUGAGGCGCGAAAGCCAGGGGAGCAAACGGG
Molecule: ribosomal RNA, 253 nt
Filed under: uncultured bacterium
Lineage: Bacteria
Description: partial 16S ribosomal RNA
Rfam family: Bacterial small subunit ribosomal RNA
Source: RNAcentral